This 595-nucleotide long non-coding RNA is filed under the name Phoenix dactylifera (date palm). Its description in RNAcentral is "long non-coding RNA (PDAC_LNC020975)". The record is from RNAcentral. Lineage: Eukaryota; Viridiplantae; Streptophyta; Magnoliopsida; Arecales; Arecaceae.
UAAUUUUCUUUUUCUAAGGGGAAUUUUAAAUUGCUGUAUGCAUGGCAGCCAAUGAUCUGGAUCGUCCACUGAACAGGGCGAGUCUAGAUGUGCGGCUGCUGAAUUUCACGACCAUGCGUGCAGUGUGGCCGAGUUAAAGGUAGGUGCUGGCCAUAUCUAUAAAGUUUAGCAUCACAAAUAUCUUCUCGAGAAAUCAUUGGUUGGACUAGAUCUACUAACUCAGUCAACCAUGGACUAGUCCAGCCUUGAACCUGCGCAUGCAAAGAUGGACAAAAAAAAGAGCCGAGGGCUAAGUUGAGGGAGGCUUGUACUUGUUUGGGUAUACUGGACGAGCGCGGCAGGCUAGAGCUGUACUACUUGAGGAUGAUUUGGUAACAGUUAUUGGCCGAUCUAGUAAAGCACCAGCGGUGUGGAUGAUUAUUAUCUACUGCUUAGAGAUAUUUGAGCCAUAAUCUGUGGUAAUGUGGCCUUUCAGGUGAAGCACGUAUACAGAAAGGCCAAUAGGAUUGUAGAUUCGGUGGAAAGAGGGAGUUAACUAAUGCACCCCAAAAUCUAUUAUUUUUUGAUUUUUUAUAUUUUAGAUGUAUCCAUAUCC